AUGAAAACAAUUACCACCCCUAAACACAACACUUCCUUUUUAAUUGACACCAUAACAUACCAUUCAUUUACCAUUCACUGUAAAUCAUUCAAACACCUAACAUCGUACAAAGAAAGGAAGAACGAAAACACCACCACCCACACCAGUCGACCAUCACGCCACAUCGAAUCUUCCAAGUCCACAACACAGUCGUUGCGUUCACAUGUCGAAUCACCUCCAGAUCGACUUCUCCACUAUCGAUCUCGCUCAGACUAA
Non-coding RNA from Vicia faba (fava bean), 255 nucleotides. The record is from the annotation of a GenBank genome assembly. Lineage: Eukaryota; Viridiplantae; Streptophyta; Magnoliopsida; Fabales; Fabaceae.